This 381-nucleotide ribosomal RNA is filed under the name Gongylus gongylodes. RNAcentral's name for it is "partial 12S ribosomal RNA". Lineage: Eukaryota; Metazoa; Arthropoda; Insecta; Mantodea; Empusidae. The record is from RNAcentral.
AUUAGAUACCCUCCUAUUUUUAUUGUGAAAUUUUAAGCUGGAGUAUUAAUAGUUAUGUUCUUGAAACUUAAAGAAUUUGGCGGUAUUAUAGUCUAUUUAGAGGAAUCUGUUAUGUAAUUGAUAAUCCGCGUUGAACCUUACUUAUAUUUAUUAGUUCUUGUAUAUCACUGUUUAUGAAUAUAUUAGUAGAUAAUAUUCUUUAUAUAAAAUUAAAUAUAAUUUCAAGUCAAGGUGCAGUAAUAUAUAAGAUGAAUAAUGGAUUACAAUAAAUUUUGUUUAUAUGGAUAAUUGGUUGAAAUAUUAAUUUGAAGGUGGAUUUAAUAGUAAUUUUUUGAAGAUUGUUAAAAUGAUUUUAGCUCUAUAGUAUGCACACAUCGCCCG